CUACGGGUCGCACCAGGCGCGAAAACUUUACAAUGCAGGAAACUGUGAUAAAGGAACCCCGAGUGCCCGUACACGCGGGCUGUCUGGGUGUUUAAAAUGCACCCAAAGAAAGGGCCGGGCAAGACCGGUGCCAGCGCGCCGCGGUAAUACCGGCGGCUCGAGUGGUGACCACUUUUAUUGGGCUUAAAGCGUUCGUAGCUGGACUGCUAAGUCCCUUGGGAAAUCCGCCGGCUUAACCGGCGGGCGUCUAAGGGAUACUGGCAGUCUUGGGACCGGGAGAGGUAAGAGGUACUCCGGGGGUAGGAGUGAAAUCCUGUAAUCCCCGGGGGACCACCGGUGGCGAAGGCGUCUUACCAGAACGGCUCCGACAGUGAGGAACGAAAGCUGGGGGAGCGAACCGGAUUAGAUACCCCAGUAGUC
Molecule: ribosomal RNA, 420 nt
Filed under: uncultured archaeon
Lineage: Archaea
Description: partial 16S ribosomal RNA
Rfam family: Archaeal small subunit ribosomal RNA
Source: RNAcentral